Molecule: ribosomal RNA, 431 nt
Filed under: uncultured bacterium
Lineage: Bacteria
Description: bacterial SSU rRNA
Rfam family: Bacterial small subunit ribosomal RNA
Source: RNAcentral
GAUGAACGCUGGCGGCGUGCUUAACACAUGCAAGUCGAACGAACCUUCGGGUUAGUGGCGGACGGGUGAGUAACGCGUGGGUGACCUUCCCUUUACAGGGGGAUAACACCGGGAAACUGGUGCUAAUACCGCAUAAGUCUUCGGAUUAAAGAAGCAAUUCGGUAAAGGAUGGGCCUGCGUAAGAUUAGCUAGUUGGUAGGGUAAUGGCCUACCAAGGCUUCGAUCUUUAGUUGGUCUGAGAGGAUGGCCAGCCACAGUGGGACUGAGACACGGCCCACACUCCUACGGGAGGCAGCAGUAGGGAAUAUUGCGCAAUGGGCGAAAGCCUGACGCAGCAAUUCCGCGUGGAGGAUGACAUAUCUCGGUAUGUAAACUCCUGUCGGCAGGGAUGAUAAUGACAGUACCUGCAGAGGAAGCACCGGCUAACUACG